This 427-nucleotide ribosomal RNA is filed under the name uncultured bacterium. Its description in RNAcentral is "partial 16S ribosomal RNA". It matches the Rfam family "Bacterial small subunit ribosomal RNA", at positions 355 to 774 of the family's 1533-position model. The record is from RNAcentral.
UGGGGAAUAUUGGACAAUGGGCGAAAGCCUGAUCCAGCCAUGCCGCGUGUGUGAAGAAGGUCUUCGGAUUGUAAAGCACUUUAAGUUGGGAGGAAGGGCAUUAACCUAAUACGUUAGUGUUUUGACGUUACCGACAGACUAAGCACCGGCUAACUCUGUGCCAGCAGCCGCGGUAAUACAGAGGGUGCAAGCGUUAAUCGGAAUUACUGGGCGUAAAGCGCGCGUAGGUGGUUUGUUAAGUUGGAUGUGAAAGCCCCGGGCUCAACCUGGGAACUGCAUCCAAAACUGGCAAGCUAGAGUACGGUAGAGGGUGGUGGAAUUUCCUGUGUAGCGGUGAAAUGCGUAGAUAUAGGAAGGAACACCAGUGGCGAAGGCGACCACCUGGACUGAUACUGACACUGAGGUGCGAAAGCGUGGGGAGCAAACA